Molecule: long non-coding RNA, 427 nt
Filed under: Phasianus colchicus (ring-necked pheasant)
Lineage: Eukaryota; Metazoa; Chordata; Aves; Galliformes; Phasianidae
Description: lncRNA (ENSPCLG00000022111.1)
Source: RNAcentral
AUGCUAUAAGUCGCUGGAUGUUCAUGUUUCUUCUUUGUUAAUUGGGGUAAAACUCUUAAAGCCAUUAGGCAAUUUAAAUGUAGCUCUAUUUGAACAAUAUCCUUUAUUGGAUCCCCCAUUAUCCUUUAAACAUCUUGGUGUGCAAGGGGAUAAAAUUAGAAAGAAUUUGUUUGCUUUAAAUUGCCAGCCUCUGCUUGAUAAAACUAUUAGCUAUUUAGCUAAUUGGCCUGCUCUUCCAUUAUCAUUAAUUGGCAGAAUUGAUACAAUUAAAAUGGAGGCUUUAUCUAAAGUGUUUGUGUUUUUUUCCAAGGUAUACCCAAUCCAGCUUCCAAACAUGUUCAGAGAGCCUUACAUUCUGCAGUUAGUAUUGCUUCCAGGAUUAGAGAACAGUGAGGAAGAAGAGCUUGCAGAGGUAACUAAGAGUUAA